Pan troglodytes (chimpanzee) is the source of this 1015-nucleotide long non-coding RNA. RefSeq lists it as uncharacterized. The record is from RefSeq and is a predicted model, not a curated record. NCBI's taxonomy places the organism in Eukaryota, Metazoa, Chordata, Mammalia, Primates, Hominidae. The transcript is spliced from 6 exons.
AGAAGUCCACGUGCAAUGUCUGCAGCGCGCGCCCGUCCGCCGCCACGGCGGCCAGCGUGCGGUUGGUGACGCGCGCGCAGUUCUCCAAGCGCAGUGCGCGCAGGCGUGGGCAGCAGCGCAGCAGGCGCGCCAGGCAGUCGUCGGUAACGUGGCCACAGCCCGACAGCGUGACGGACGCCAGGUUGGGGCACCUGUGAGGAGAGUGCGGUGACCCGGGGCUCACUGGCCUGUUAAAGCUACCCAACCGCCCCAUGGGACCGAGUGGACUCAUUUACCGAGGAGGACUCGGGCCCUGCGAGGUCACUUCAUCCUGGCCCAGGUACUGCAGCUCCAAAUCGUGGGGAUUCUGUAAGAGCUUGCUACCUGUUGACUGAGGAGGCCCACGAGUCGAGAAGAACUAGCAAGAGUGGUACAAAACUGCAGGUCAUUGGGCUGGCCACCAGGUAUUCCCACCCACCAGAAGCUGGCUGUUGUACUCACCCGGAACCAUGGUGCACCACCACAGCGGCGAGGUCAUACAGGCAGCUCUCCGGGCCACUGUUCUCAGGCUACAGAACAAGGAAGAAGGAGCAGUGGUCAAUGACAUCAGUAUCUCGAUGACCUCUACCCUCUCCAUGUGAUGACAAUCUUACUGAAGAGCCAUUUUUUCACCAUGCUAAAAAGGCCAGUUGGGUCCAGCAGCUUUGCCUCUCUACCCUUUCAUCACCAAAGUAUACUGCUGAGAAAGAAUCACAUGAAAAGAAAAAAGACUCAACAAGUCAUUCUCUCACAAGCAUGCAGUGGGGUGUUCCUGAGGCUGCAUGUGACAUCUCAAGAGACUGAAUGCAGAAGCAAUGUAAGAAUCCAGCUGUCUUCUAUAAAGCUGAACAAAGAGUUACAAAAAUGUAAAAUAAUGCCAUUCUUCCCACUAAAUUUUUGUUUUGAAAAACAUUUUACAUAAACUGUCAAUUUAUGUUAUGGGUAGUGGGUCUAUCAUUAUUUGUAAGCAUAUUAAUAAAUACAUAUUUUAAGUUUU